Jaculus jaculus (lesser Egyptian jerboa) is the source of this 107-nucleotide small nuclear RNA. The record is from RefSeq and is a predicted model, not a curated record. Lineage: Eukaryota; Metazoa; Chordata; Mammalia; Rodentia; Dipodidae.
GAGCCCACUUUCGCAGCACAUAUAUUAAAAUUGGAAUUAUACAGAGAAAAUUAGCAUGGCCUCUGCACAAGAAUGACACACAAAUUCAUGAAGUGUUCCACUUUUUU